GCCAGACUGGUGUAGCGGCUUGAGCAUUAGACUAUGACUCUGGAGACCAGGGUUCGAAUCUCGGUGCAGCCA
Non-coding RNA from Phrynosoma platyrhinos (Desert horned lizard), 72 nucleotides. The record is from the annotation of a GenBank genome assembly. Lineage: Eukaryota; Metazoa; Chordata; Lepidosauria; Squamata; Phrynosomatidae.